Molecule: ribosomal RNA, 253 nt
Filed under: uncultured bacterium
Lineage: Bacteria
Description: partial 16S ribosomal RNA
Rfam family: Bacterial small subunit ribosomal RNA
Source: RNAcentral
UACGGAGGGUGCAAGCGUUGUUCGGAAUCACUGGGCGUAAAGCGCGUGUAGGCGGCCUUCUCAGUCUGGUGUGAAAGCCCGGGGCUCACCCCCGGAAGUGCAUUGGAUACUGGAAGGCUGGAGUACCGGAGAGGAGGGUGGAAUUCCUGGUGUAGCGGUGAAAUUCGUAGAUAUCGGAAGGAACACCAGCGGCGAAGGCGGCCAUCUGGACGGUGACUGACGCUCAGACGCGAAAGCGCGGGGAGCAAACAGG